CGAGUGAAGCGGCAUCAGCUCAAAUUUGAAAUCUGGCUCUUUCAGGGUCCGAGUUGUAAUUUGCAGAGGGCGCUUUGGCGUUGGCAGCGGUCCAAGUUCCUUGGAACAGGACGUCACAGAGGGUGAGAAUCCCGUACGUGGUCGCUGGCCUUCGCCGUGUAAAGCCCCUUCGACGAGUCGAGUUGUUUGGGAAUGCAGCUCUAAAUGGGAGGUAAAUUUCUUCUAAAGCUAAAUACUGGCCAGAGACCGAUAGCGCACAAGUAGAGUGAUCGAAAGAUGAAAAGCACUUUGGAAAGAGAGUCAAAUAGCACGUGAAAUUGUUGAAAGGGAAGCGCUUGCAGCCAGACUUGCCUGUAGUUGCUCAUCCGGGCUUUUGCCCGGUGCAUUCUUCUGUAGGCAGGCCAGCAUCAGUUUGGGCGGUUGGAUAAAGGUCUCUGUCACGUACCUCCUCUCGGGGAGGCCUUAUAGGGGAGACGACAUGCAACCAGCCUGGACUGAGGUCCGCGCAUCUGCUAGGAUGCUGGCGUAAUGGCUGUAAGCGGCCCGUCUUGAAACACGGACCAAGGAGUCUAACAUCUAUGCGAGUGUUUGGGUGUCAAGCCCGAGCGCGUAAUGAAAGUGAACGGAGGUGGGAUCCCUUAAGGGUGCACCAUCGACCGAUCCUGAUGUCUUCGGAUGGAUUUGAGUAAGAGCAUGGCUGUUGGGACCCGAAAGAUGGUGAACUAUGCUUGAAUAGGGUGAAGCCAGAGGWAACUCUGGUGGAGGCUCGCAGCGGUUCUGACGUGCAAAUCGAUCGUCAAAUUUGGGCAUAGGGGCGAAAGACUAAUCGAACUAUCUAGUAGCUGGUUCCUGCCGAAGUUUCCCUCAGGA
This 870-nucleotide ribosomal RNA is filed under the name Setophaeosphaeria badalingensis. RNAcentral's name for it is "eukaryotic LSU rRNA". It matches the Rfam family "Eukaryotic large subunit ribosomal RNA", at positions 90 to 978 of the family's 3401-position model. The record is from RNAcentral. Lineage: Eukaryota; Fungi; Ascomycota; Dothideomycetes; Pleosporales; Phaeosphaeriaceae.